RNAcentral lists this long non-coding RNA (1543 nucleotides) under Canis lupus familiaris (dog). RNAcentral's name for it is "lncRNA (ENSCAFG00000052886.1, ENSCAFG00805014250.1, ENSCAFG00845012457.1)". Lineage: Eukaryota; Metazoa; Chordata; Mammalia; Carnivora; Canidae. The record is from RNAcentral.
UUGAACAACAAUUAGGGCUUUGAAGGAAAAGGGACACAGUCAGAUUUGUAAUUGAAAGGAUAAUUCUCAUGUCACUGUGGGCAGUGAAUGGCUGGCACCAAGUGGAUGAGGCAUAGCCCUUGGAAGGCUCUAACAGUCAUCCAGGCAAGAGAAGACCUAGCUGAGGUUCAGGUAGUGGCAGGCGAAUCAGACAGAUGGAGGGAUUCAAGGUGCAUUUAGAUGAUAAAAUUGAUGGAUCGUAGUAAAAGGAUUGGUUUAUCAGUGAACAAGGGGAGACAUGUGGAGAAGAUGCCUAGAUUUCUGACACAUUAACCAAAAAGACACUGGGAUUCUGAUGACUGGCCAGGUGUUGCACCUUUCACUUCAUUUCCAGUAGCCAGAGUGAGGAGCAACAAGGAGCCUCCUUCACAUCUCCUGUGAUUGCUUUCACAAGGGAAGCCAGAGUGCUUCCCAUCUCUCCAUUUGUUUGUCAGUAAGUAUGGGGGGAGCCUCCACGGUGUGGGCCCUCGUCUCCCUGCUCUUACUUUGUUAUCCACGGUGACUUUUCAUUUAUGAACUAAACUAUGAUGUUCCGUUUAUGCAACUCCAGGUAAGUUGAAAUUCAACAUUUGAAGAGGCCCGUGUAUCACCUUCUGAAAGAAAAUCAGGUCUGUGCCUUAGAGUGCAAAGAACUAUGUGAAAAAUUUCACAAACAUGUAUUAAAUCAUUAGGAAACUUCUUUGACCUUGCUUCUUAAAAGCCCAUCGACAUACACACAAUUGGCACAAUUAUCACAAAUCGCUCAUCGACAGAGCUUUUAAGGACCUUAACGUAGUAGUGACGUUUGUUUGGUCUGAUUGGAGUUCACUGCAGCUCUGCUUUCUCCCCGUAGUUAGAGUUGAGUGCUCGCGUCCCCUCACAUGUCCCGAACUUUUUGUACUGAUCCUUGGCUACUGUUGUCUCAAUACAACACUCCUCUACUUAAGUGGAUGCUGUGGUAUAUCUAAUAUCUUUUUUUUUAAGAAGUAUGCUUUUUUUAAAAAAAGAUUUUAUUUAUUUAUUUGAGAGAGAGAAUUAGCAAGGUGAAGGACCGAGGGAGAAGCAGACUCCCCACUAAGCAGGAGCCCAAUGACCCUGAGACCGUGGUCUGAGCUGAAGGCAGCUGGUCAACCAACUGAGCCACCCACGUGCCCCGGUACUUCUAAUAUCUUGUCCAUUCCUUCCAUUCGUUCUUAUUUCUCUAAAACGCGUUCCCUCACAUCGUGCUUCACAAGCACAUGUAACAAUCAAGAGAUAGUGUUUUGCCCAAUAUGUUAUUCACCCCCAAAAUAACAUUGGCUGAUAAACGGUUAAUUUUAAAAUAACCUUAAAAUUAGGUAUUCGGUUUUUCUUUCAACAUCAGAAAGUAUUAGAAAGAGAAUUUCAGUAAAAGAAAUCUGCCAUGAAUGCUUAUGAUCACUUUCUUUUCCUCUUGCUGGUUGUACUCCUUCCAGGAGAUUCCAGGUUGGAGCUCCUUCCAAGAAAUUUGAGUUUCACUUAUUUCCAGGAAACAAUUAGAAAAUCA